This is a long non-coding RNA of Rhineura floridana, 2213 nucleotides long. RefSeq lists it as uncharacterized. The record is from RefSeq and is a predicted model, not a curated record. Lineage: Eukaryota; Metazoa; Chordata; Lepidosauria; Squamata; Rhineuridae. The transcript is spliced from 3 exons.
CAGCUCACUUUGGAAACUCAGAUUACAGCUGCUGCAAUCUUCAGGCUGAGUUCCAGGAAAAGGCACAGCCAAAGGCGAGCCCGCCUUUUUGUUGGCCAGGGAAGCAAAGCUCUGCAACGCCAGGCUGCAGUCAGCAGCUCCCCACUGUCCAAACACAUGCUCCCUGAGCCACGCUGCCCGAGCCACUGCAGAGCCUGCUGCUUGGUACCAAAUACACCCGUCGCUUUGAACGUUCCCAGCAAGUCCAUGGUAUGCGCAAAGCUCUCCUCCAACACCACAUUUCAAAUGAGUUGAUUUAAACUGUAGGCUAUAACAAUUAUAAUAGGAUAAAGGUAGCACGGCGGUUUCCAAAUAAAAGACAUGAGAAAUAGCAAGGAUGUUUGAGAAGGGGAACAUCGUUAGAGGCUACAGAGAAUGUUAGCCAUGCACGGUACAGACUUCCCUGAACAAUGGAGCUUUUGGAAGACAUUGCAUGAUUUCCCAUAUAUGUUUGCAAUCAUGAGAGCUAGAAACUUGCUUUGAUUAAUGAAAGCUGGGUCUGAGAUGCUAAGGCUGCAAUCCUAUUUACAAAGGCUAAGAUUGCCAAUAUUCCAUGCAAGAUGCCAGACUGGGUGAUACCCAAUCACAAAAGAGGACCAAUGGUUCCAACCAUGUCUCACAGAGCUCAUAAUCAACAACAGCCAGUGUGAUGUAAUGGUUAGAGUGACGUGGACCUGGGAGAUCAGUAUUCAAAUUCCCCCUCAACUGGGAAAGCCCACUGAGUGACCUUAGGCCAGCCACUGUCUGUCAGCCUAAUCUACCUCACCGGAUUGUUGUGAGAAUAAAAUAGGGAGGGGAGAACUAUGUACACCACCUUGGGGUCCUUGGAGGAAAGGUGGCAUAUAAAUGUGAUAAAUAAAUGAUAAACACUUUAAUCUAAGUGAAGAGGCAAUUACUAGUGAGAUAAUAGCUGUUUAAUCUGUGACAAACACUCCUGAGGCUACAUGAGAAAGAUUUAGAAACAUACAUUGAGUUCCUGAUGCAUCACUGUAUAUUGACUCAGCUCUACAUAAUUCUAUAAACUCUUUCAUCAGCUGGUAUAGCAGGGGAAUGUUUGCUCCAGUCACUUUGGGCCUCCCCUAAGCCCUGCUAUCAGAAAGGGAGGUUGCAGAAUUCGCUUGCUUGGACCAAUCCUCCUCCUGCUUGCUACUCACACUCACAGGGGCUUUCCUUGCAUCCCUGAGGAGCACAUAAAACAUUACAUAUGCCCAAAUUACAGGAAUGCAUGCUGACCACAGUUCAGGGGAAUUUAAGGCUGUGAGCACACUAGUUGCCUAUCUCAAAGCAUUUCCAUUGGCCACACCUGGAUGCGGAAUAGAUUUAUCAGCCAAUCAGUUGUGAAAUCGCUUUGAAAAGAAUUUUUAAAAAAUGCAUUCAAGCUGAUCCCACCAGGUUUCAUAGGGACAGGGGGCAGGGUUCAACUAGCAUCCUGUGUCCCUGUUUUUAGAAAAGAGAGGCGGAGUCACACUGGAACCAGCACAAGCUUUUAAUUUUUAAUUUCUAAUUUUUAGGAUUCUGAUUAUGUUUAUAUGGAAUAUACUUGUGUUUGGUUGUAAGUCGCCCAGAGUGGCAGAUCAACCUCUGCCAGAUGGGCGUCUAACAAAUCUCAUAAAUAAAUAAACAAACAAACAAACAAACAAACAAAUAAAUAAAUAAAUAGUGUCUCUACCCUAAAUCUGCAAAACCUCAGGACAUAGGUUUUGCAAAAUUCUGUGAAUAUGUUUGAAGAGAGGUUGCUGCAAUAUACACAAGUUUGCCAGGGUGAUAAUACAGAGACACUAAUACGAAAAUUGACCCAGAGAGUCUGAUGUAGUAGACAGCAUUAGAUCCAUUCCUACUGACUAUUUAUUCAAGGCUCAGUCAUGCAAACAAAAACUUCCUUUUGUAAAGAAAAAUGCUUUAUGUCCUAAAUGCUUUUAGUCCUGAACCAGUGAUUUGUGAAGCUUUGCAAUUCCAAAAGUAAUUUAUUUUGUGUGUGAAAGAGAGAGAUAGAGAGAUCCCAGGGUAACUAGUACUUCACUGUGUUUGUUUUUGUUUUUAGGGAUUAUACCUGUUUUUCCCUGUGUAUUUUGUGUGAAUACCCUCUAGAAACUAUCCUCAGUUAAUUUUCCCUUCUAUGGCUAUUACAAAAACAGAACCUGAUUUGAAGUGUAUCAGAUAGGCAUGCCUAUUCU